UGAAGAGCCAACAGAAGCAGCACCCGCUGAUGCUCCAGCCGCAGAACCUGAAGCUGAACCUGCAGUUGAGGUUGAAACCAAGGAGGUUGUAGAAGAACCAGCAAAAACUGAGCCUGAAGAGGUUGCAGCCCCAGCAGCAGAAGAAACUCCUGAGGACAAGCCUGAAGAGACUGUUGCUGAGGAGACUGUUGCUAAGGAGACUGUUGUCGAAGAGACUAAAGAGGAGGCAGCACCGGCUCCUGUUGAGGAAGAGAAGCCAGCAGAAGAAGAGAAGCCAGCUGAGACACCAGCUGCAGAGACAACCACCACAGAAGUUCCUGUGGAGACUAAUGAGUGAAUAAACUGAUUCUAAGAAGUGAUUGAUACUAGUGGGGUGGGGUCUUUGUUUUUCUUUUAGGUUUCACUGUCAAAGUCCUCAGGUUUCUGUUUUGUUUCAUUUCUCUGUUUAUUGAUUUAUGAUUAUGGUUACAGAAAGGGUUUUGGAUGGGAUCAUGGGAUAUGGAAGCUAUAGAGUCGAUACUAAGCA
This 526-nucleotide long non-coding RNA is filed under the name Populus trichocarpa (black cottonwood). RNAcentral describes it as "long non-coding RNA (PTRI_LNC001634)". Lineage: Eukaryota; Viridiplantae; Streptophyta; Magnoliopsida; Malpighiales; Salicaceae. The record is from RNAcentral.